UACAGAGGUCUCAAGCGUUGUUCGGAUUCAUUGGGCGUAAAGGGUGCGUAGGCGGCGCGGUAAGUCGGGUGUGAAAUCUCGGGGCUUAACUCCGAAACUGCAUUCGAUACUGCCGUGCUUGAGGACUGGAGAGGAGACUGGAAUUUACGGUGUAGCGGUGAAAUGCGUAGAUAUCGUAAGGAAGACCAGUGGCGAAGGCGGGUCUCUGGACAGUUCCUGACGCUGAGGCACGAAAGCGAGGGGAGCAAACGGG
Molecule: ribosomal RNA, 253 nt
Filed under: uncultured bacterium
Lineage: Bacteria
Description: partial 16S ribosomal RNA
Rfam family: Bacterial small subunit ribosomal RNA
Source: RNAcentral